This 465-nucleotide ribosomal RNA is filed under the name uncultured bacterium. Its description in RNAcentral is "partial 16S ribosomal RNA". It matches the Rfam family "Bacterial small subunit ribosomal RNA", at positions 28 to 507 of the family's 1533-position model. The record is from RNAcentral.
GACGAACGCUGGCGGCGUGCUUAACACAUGCAAGUCGUACGGAAAGGCCCUUUCGGGGUUACACGAGUGGCGAACGGGGGAGUAACACGCGAGUAACCAGCCCACAACUCUGGGAGAGCGCUAGGAAACUGACUGUAAUACUUGAUAUAUGCUCGCGCUGCAUGGUGGGGGUGGGAUAGAUCCGGCGGUUGUGGGUGGACGCGCGGGCUAUCAGCUUGCUGGUGGGGGAGUGGCUUACCAAGGCGGCGACUGGUAGCCGGCCUGGGGGGGUGACUGGCCACAUUGGGUCCGAGAUUCGGCCCAGACACCUACCGGUAGCAGCCGUGGGGAAUAUUGCCCAAUGGGCCCGAGCCUGAUGCAGCCACGCCGCGUGCGGGAUGGCGGCCUUCGGGUUGUAAAACGCUUUCAGCAGGGACGAAGCUUUUUGUGACGGUACCUGCAGAAGAAGCACCGGCUAACUACGUG